This 394-nucleotide long non-coding RNA is filed under the name Felis catus (domestic cat). RNAcentral describes it as "lncRNA (ENSFCAG00000048742.1)". Lineage: Eukaryota; Metazoa; Chordata; Mammalia; Carnivora; Felidae. The record is from RNAcentral.
AUGAUGAUGGAUACAUUAUUUUUCCAGGAGAUUCAUCCCACUCAGUCUUUGGAGGACAAGGCUUUCGUGUGCUCCCGUCUUAUGUGGGUCUGGCUUCAGGACAGCACAGUGUCCAGGAUUGAGAAGGAACUCAAGACCAGGAUGGAGGACUUGGGGUUGAUGAAGGAUAUCUGGACCAUGCCAUUUGGCCUUCAAGCAAGAUCAUCCCUCCAUGUUGGUGUCGCUCAAGGUUUCCGGUCAUCAUUACAUGCACUUCCCCUCCUCGUCUCCAAUGUAGCCCCUUCAGGACACUUGGUAGGCUGCCUCAGGCUUACUAAAUACAAGCUCCUUAGGAGAAAGGAUGCCAUCUAUCUCGUUCACCAUUGUUCUCACUGUGUAGAAUAAUACCUGAAAU